AGCACCUGGAGCAGUUUCCGCAGUCGAUGAUGGCGUUGUAGGAGGCGUUUACCGAGCCGAAGUAGUACUGGGUCUGUUUCAUGACGCAGCUGCUCUCGCGCGUCUCGGGGUUCCCCUCGGCCUCCGCGGGGUCUGCGAGGGCCCAGAGCGCCUCAGCUCCGCCCACAGACCCUGGCAAGGUCUCCGGCCUCCCUCAGUGGUAGGCCCCACCCUCCCCAUGGAGUCGUCUUAGCUCAGAUUGGGGACCCGGACUUGAGGAGGCGCCUCCAAAGCCCUACCUACCUGCUUGGAACCAGCUGUGGUAGAUGAGGCCGUAGAGAAGCUGCUGGAACAGGGACCUGCAGCGCACGGGGAGCCGAGUGCAGGUGGUCAGCAGAGGACGAUGCCGUGCCCUACUUCUCUUCUGAGCCCUGCCGGCCAGGGAGCACCUUCUCUACCCACCUCCCGCUCAGGACUCACCAGGCGGCAGCAGAGGUCCACCAGGCCAGCACCAGGAAUCCUCCAUCAUCAAUGAGGACACACAGUAAGUCCUAAGAGGAAGGGAAUGGGGAGGAAAAUGGAGAGGGGCUGGGCCCCGGACCUUCCACCGCAGGCAGUCCAGUGGUUCAGAGUUGGGGGGCAUCACUCCCCCAGUCCUGGGGAGGCUGUGAAGUCAGGGUGGGGAUGUUGAGACCCACAGGCCAAGGGAUGUGCUGUGAGUCGCGGCUGGGACUAGGAAGUCUGGAAGUGGGGUAAGCUAGGGUCCAGGGUAGGUUCAGGGCACACAUACCUCAUUGUUAACCUCGCAGUCCAUCUCACAGUGGCUGUUGGGGCCGCACUGCUGGGCAGAGAGUGAGGACCGUAAGCCACCCACCAGUUUUCCUCCCUCCCAUCACCUUUCAUACAUCCGGUUCCCCAGGCCAUCUGCAGCUGGCCCUGCCUCCAUGUAGGUGUUGGAGCCACUGAGUGGAGGGUUGGUGGGGGUUCCAGGGGACUCCAGGAAGGGCACUGCUGGGUUACUGCCCCCGCCCCUGCCCAAAUACCUUCUGAGGCUG
Molecule: long non-coding RNA, 1034 nt
Filed under: Pan troglodytes (chimpanzee)
Lineage: Eukaryota; Metazoa; Chordata; Mammalia; Primates; Hominidae
Description: long non-coding RNA NONPTRT011397
Source: RNAcentral